This 625-nucleotide ribosomal RNA is filed under the name Xanthomonas sp. Ri3Ps_5217. Its description in RNAcentral is "bacterial SSU rRNA". It matches the Rfam family "Bacterial small subunit ribosomal RNA", at positions 391 to 1006 of the family's 1533-position model. The record is from RNAcentral. Lineage: Bacteria; Pseudomonadati; Pseudomonadota; Gammaproteobacteria; Lysobacterales; Lysobacteraceae.
GCCAUGCCGCGUGGGUGAAGAAGGCCUAUCGGGUUGUAAAGCCCUUUUGUUGGGAAAGAAAAGCAGUCGGUUAAUACCCGAUUGUUCUGACGGUACCCAAAGAAUAAGCACCGGCUAACUUCGUGCCAGCAGCCGCGGUAAUACGAAGGGUGCAAGCGUUACUCGGAAUUACUGGGCGUAAAGCGUGCGUAGGUGGUUGUUUAAGUCCGUUGUGAAAGCCCUGGGCUCAACCUGGGAAUUGCAGUGGAUACUGGGCAACUAGAGUGUGGUAGAGGAUGGCGGAAUUCCCGGUGUAGCAGUGAAAUGCGUAGAGAUCGGGAGGAACAUCUGUGGCGAAGGCGGCCAUCUGGACCAACACUGACACUGAGGCACGAAAGCGUGGGGAGCAAACAGGAUUAGAUACCCUGGUAGUCCACGCCCUAAACGAUGCGAACUGGAUGUUGGGUGCAACUUGGCACGCAGUAUCGAAGCUAACGCGUUAAGUUCGCCGCCUGGGGAGUACGGUCGCAAGACUGAAACUCAAAGGAAUUGACGGGGGCCCGCACAAGCGGUGGAGUAUGUGGUUUAAUUCGAUGCAACGCGAAGAACCUUACCUGGUCUUGACAUCCACGGAACUUUCCAGAGA